Vicugna pacos (alpaca) is the source of this 475-nucleotide non-coding RNA. Lineage: Eukaryota; Metazoa; Chordata; Mammalia; Artiodactyla; Camelidae. The record is from RefSeq and is a predicted model, not a curated record.
AACAAUAAAAGAUUGCUUGCUAUCUAAAGAAAGCCAGGUAUCUCAAGUUAAAGUAUUUAGUGCUUUCCUAUGUACCAUUUGGGCUGACUAGAUUCAUUCUUUCGACAAGCACCUAGUUAUCUAGGGCAAUUAUCCUGUCUUCUUAUUCUCAGUCUGUUCAGAGGGCACCAUUGUGAGUGGCUGUAGAGGCUGGGCUUCAGGCCUGUCCUCGCUGGGGGGUGGCGGCAGCCUCUGAUGACUUGGUUUCAGCAUUCUUUGUUUACCGACAUUGUUGUACUAUUUUCAUUCACAUUGUAGCAUUUUCAUUCACACAGUGAUUGUGGAUAAUCUGGAAACUUGGAAAGGAACCGAGAUGGAAUUACUGCAGGCUCCUCCGCUCAGAUGUAAGAAAAGCCUCUUUAAACUUCUUGAUGCAGCUCCUUAAUGAAGAUCUUGCGAAGGAAACCUAGUCAAAACCUGGGAUCAUGUCCUAGGA